AGUGAACGCUGGCGGUAGGCCUAACACAUGCAAGUCGAACGGCAGCACAGUAAGAGCUUGCUCUUACGGGUGGCGAGUGGCGGACGGGUGAGGAAUACAUCGGAAUCUACUUUUUCGUGGGGGAUAACGUAGGGAAACUUACGCUAAUACCGCAUACGACCUACGGGUGAAAGCAGGGGAUCUUCGGACCUUGCGCGAUAGAAUGAGCCGAUGUCGGAUUAGCUAGUUGGCGGGGUAAAGGCCAACCAAGGCGACGAUCCGUAGCUGGUCUGAGAGGAUGAUCAGCGACACUGGAGCUGAGAGACGAUACAGGCACCUACGGGAGGCAGAGGUGGGGAAUAUUGGAAAAUGGGCGCAAGCCUGAUCCAGCCAUACCGCGUGGAUGAAGAAGGCCUUCGGGUUGUAAAGCCCUUUUGUUGGGAAAGAAAAGCAGCAGGUUAAUACCCCGCUGUUCUGACGGUACCCAAAGAAUAAGCACCGGCUACCUUCGU
Molecule: ribosomal RNA, 491 nt
Filed under: uncultured bacterium
Lineage: Bacteria
Description: partial 16S ribosomal RNA
Rfam family: Bacterial small subunit ribosomal RNA
Source: RNAcentral